Molecule: non-coding RNA, 24 nt
Filed under: Arabidopsis thaliana (thale cress)
Lineage: Eukaryota; Viridiplantae; Streptophyta; Magnoliopsida; Brassicales; Brassicaceae
Source: RNAcentral
CACGUUUUGCUAUUCAUCCAGGGU